RNAcentral lists this ribosomal RNA (372 nucleotides) under uncultured organism. RNAcentral describes it as "bacterial SSU rRNA". It matches the Rfam family "Bacterial small subunit ribosomal RNA", at positions 526 to 896 of the family's 1533-position model. The record is from RNAcentral.
CAGGGGGGGCGAGCGUUGUUCGGAAUUACUGGGCGUAAAGGGUUUGUAGGUGGCUUGCUAAGUCAGACGUGAAAUCCCUCAGCUUAACUGGGGAACUGCGUCUGAGACUGGCGAGCUUGAGUGCAGGAGAGGAACGCGGAAUUCCAGGUGUAGCGGUGAAAUGCGUAGAUAUCUGGAGGAACACCGGUGGCGAAGGCGGCGUUCUGGACUGCAACUGACACUGUAAAACGAAAGCCAGGGGAGCAAACGGGAUUAGAUACCCCGGUAGUCCUGGCCCUAAACGAUGAAUGCUUGGUGUGGCGGGUAUCGAUCCCUGCCGUGCCGCAGUUAACGCGUUAAGCAUUCCGCCUGGGGAGUACGGUCGCAAGGCUG